This 253-nucleotide ribosomal RNA is filed under the name uncultured bacterium. Its description in RNAcentral is "partial 16S ribosomal RNA". It matches the Rfam family "Bacterial small subunit ribosomal RNA", at positions 524 to 776 of the family's 1533-position model. The record is from RNAcentral.
UACGUAGGGAGCAAGCGUUGUCCGGAAUCAUUGGGCGUAAAGCGCGCGUAGGUGGCCACAUAAGUCCGUUGUGAAAGUCAAAGGCUCAACCUUUGAAAGCCGAUGGAUACUGUGUGGCUAGAGUACGGAAGAGGCGAGUGGAAUUCCUGGUGUAGCGGUGAAAUGCGCAGAUAUCAGGAGGAACACCGGUGGCGAAGGCGGAUCUCUGGGCCUUACCUGACGCUCAGGUGCGAAAGCUAGGGGAGCGAACAGG